GGAUUAGAUACCCUGGUAGUCCACGCCGUAAACGAUGUCUACUAGUUGUCGGGAGACUUGAUCUUUUGGUAACGAAGCUAACGCGAUAAGUAGACCGCCUGGGGAGUACGGCCGCAAGGUUAAAACUCAAAUGAAUUGACGGGGGCCCGCACAAGCGGUGGAGCAUGUGGUUUAAUUCGAAGCAACGCGAAGAACCUUACCUGGCCUUGACAUCCUGCGAACCUUCUAGAGAUAGGAGGGUGCCUUCGGGAACGCAGAGACAGGUGCUGCAUGGCUGUCGUCAGCUCGUGCUG
Molecule: ribosomal RNA, 293 nt
Filed under: uncultured bacterium
Lineage: Bacteria
Description: partial 16S ribosomal RNA
Rfam family: Bacterial small subunit ribosomal RNA
Source: RNAcentral